GAUGAACGCUGGCGGUAUGCUUAACACAUGCAAGUCGAACGGUCUUUUCGGAGAUAGUGGCGGACGGGUGAGUAACGCGUAAGAAUCUACCUUCAGGUUCGGGACAACCACUGGAAACGGUGGCUAAUACCGGAUGUGCCGAGAGGUGAAAGGCUUGCUGCCUGAAGAAGAGCUUGCGUCUGAUUAGCUAGUAGGUGUGGUAAAGGCGCACCUAGGCGACGAUCAGUAGCUGGUCUGAGAGGAUGAUCAGCCACACUGGGACUGAGACACGGCCCANACUCCUACGGGAGGCACAGUGGGGAAUUUUCCGCAAUGGGCGAAAGCCUGACGGAGCAAUACCGCGUGAGGGAGGAAGGCUCUUGGGUUGUAAACCUCUUUUCUCAGGGAAGAAAAAAAUGACGGUACCUGAGGAAUAAGCAUCGGCUAACUCCGUGCCAGCAGCCGCGGUAAUACGGAGGAUGCAAGCGUUAUCCGGAAUGAUUGGGCGUAAAGGGUCCGCAGGUGGCAUUGUAAGUCUGCUGUUAAAGAGUCACGCUCAACGUGAUCAAGGCGGUGGAAACUACAAAGCUAGAGUGUGGUCGGGGCA
Molecule: ribosomal RNA, 586 nt
Filed under: uncultured cyanobacterium
Lineage: Bacteria; Bacillati; Cyanobacteriota
Description: bacterial SSU rRNA
Rfam family: Bacterial small subunit ribosomal RNA
Source: RNAcentral